Molecule: ribosomal RNA, 324 nt
Filed under: uncultured bacterium
Lineage: Bacteria
Description: bacterial SSU rRNA
Rfam family: Bacterial small subunit ribosomal RNA
Source: RNAcentral
GAUGAACGCUGGCGGCGUGCUUAACACAUGCAAGUCGAACGGGAAACAUUUUAUUGAAGCUUCGGCAGAUUUAGUUUGUUUCUAGUGGCGGACGGGUGAGUAACGCGUGGGUAACCUGCCUCACACUGGGGGAUAACAGACCGAAAGGCCUGCUAAUACCGCAUGAUGCAGCUGGGUCGCAUGACUCUGGCUGCCAAAGAUUUAUCGCUCUGAGAUGGCCUCGCGUCUGAUUAGCUAGUUGGCGGGGUAACGGCCCACCAAGGCGACGAUCAGUAGCCGGACUGAGAGGUUGACCGGCCACAUUGGGACUGAGACACGGCCCAG